GAAAUGCGAUACGUAAUGUGAAUUGCAGAAUUCAGUGAAUCAUCGAAUCUUUGAACGCACAUUGCGCCUUCUGGUAUUCCGGAAGGCAUGCUUGUUUGAGUAUCAGAUUAACCUCAGCUGUACACCCCUUCCCCUCCGAUAAAAAGGAUGGUGAAGGAAAGCUGGAUUUGAGCAAGUCCCAAAAUCAGAUUUUUUUUGAUAUGAGGGAUGCUUGAAAUUCAAGGUUCGGCCAGACGAUUAGGCUACAAGCAAUUUCAUACUUAAUCCUGUCAAACGGAUUAUAUCCUUUUGCUGGCAGCUAAAUCCAUCACAGGAUGAUCGUCAGUGCCUCUCGACUUGAUGCAGAAUGUUUGGAUCUCGGUCUAAACAAUCGUAACAACUCGAUCUCAAAUCAAGUAAG
Molecule: unclassified non-coding RNA, 400 nt
Filed under: uncultured fungus
Lineage: Eukaryota; Fungi
Description: sequence contains ITS1
Rfam family: 5.8S ribosomal RNA (bases 1-105)
Source: RNAcentral